CCACACACAGCAAGAAAGAUACAUCUGACCAGUCUCAACGUCAACGUAUUUCCCCUCUCACCCUGGCUUCCAGGCAGCUCUGAAAUAUGUCCCACCUGUGCAGCUACGUGACUCCCUCCCGCACACGCUUAGACACCUCUGCAUGCAGUCAAAGUCACUGUCACAAGCCGGCAGGCACUGAGAUGGGGUCUUGCUGUGUUGCCCACACUGUUCUCCAACUACUGGCCUCAAACGAUCCUCCUGCCUCGGCCUCCCAAAGCACUGGAAUUUCAGGCAUGCGCUAUCUUACUGGCUGUUCACCCCCCUUUUACUCCUCUUUAAUUUUUACAAGCACUUUUUUUU
This 342-nucleotide small RNA is filed under the name Pongo abelii (Sumatran orangutan). RNAcentral's name for it is "processed transcript". The record is from RNAcentral. Lineage: Eukaryota; Metazoa; Chordata; Mammalia; Primates; Hominidae.